Molecule: ribosomal RNA, 253 nt
Filed under: uncultured bacterium
Lineage: Bacteria
Description: partial 16S ribosomal RNA
Rfam family: Bacterial small subunit ribosomal RNA
Source: RNAcentral
UACGAACUGUGCAAACGUUAUUCGGAAUCACUGGGCUUAAAGGGUGCGUAGGCGGCUGUCUAAGCAGGGUGCGAAAGCCCCCGGCUCAACCGGGGAAUUGCGUUCUGAACUGGACGGCUGGAGUGGGAUAGAGGUGUGCGGAACUUCCGGUGGAGCGGUGAAAUGUGUUGAUAUCGGAAGGAACGCCGGUGGCGAAAGCGGCACACUGGGUCUCAACUGACGCUGAGGCACGAAAGCCAGGGGAGCAAACGGG